GCAUCACUCUUCUUUAGUCGAAUCUGACUAAGUAAAAUUUGUGCAUUGAGAAAAGCGUGUAGAGAGGUCAUAAUGAGCUGGCAGAAUAGUGGUAGUCUGGAUUACCUUGUGAGAAGAAUCAUACAUAUAUGAGCUGUGAUUAAGAUUCACUCUUCUAUGACUCAGAUUUUUCUUCUUAUUACGUUCUCAGAUGCAUUGCGUGGAGAAACAAGCCAUUAUUUCCUCUUUCUUUCUCUGUUUCCACUACUUUUUCCUAUUCCUUUAUGAUGCUGUUUUUCUACUCUGAAAUUUCCAAUAUUGAAAUUCUUCUCCAGGCUAGAGGCACGCAAAACUGUAUUUCAUGAUCAACUCAAUAUUGGAAGCAUCAGUUCGGCACCUGUGCUCCAUGCUAGAGCUCCAUACAACAUUUUUGUAGCCAGAACUGUGCCUCCAAUCAUUACCUUGAGCAGAAUAAAUGUGCAGAAGUUCCAGGCGAAGCUGCUGCCUAAGGGGUUGGCCAGCCCCAUGGAUGUGCUCAAGAUAGAGUCAGGAACUUGGUUUGUUAUCAAAACGGAAAGUAAUGUUUCCCACACUAUGCCUACAGUGAUUCUCCUCGAAGACAUGAGGUGCUGCAUUUUGGAUCUGAGAAAUCUGAAGUGCGAUUUCGUAGGAAUCAGCAACAUAUAGGAUCCAAAGCAUCUAAGCAUGCUCCAGACCAUCUGCAGCGCAAUAGUUAGUGAGCGUCCACAAUGGUGGUGGAGAUGAGGGGCGAGCGGAGCGAGAGCAAUAUAGGUAUUGGGGUUCUCAUCUAUUACCGUCCAUUUCAAUGUACGCAUAUUUCAUCGGCAUUAGCUCCCAGUUAUUUAAAUUAAUAACAAGUUGUUGAGCAGGAUCAGUAACUAUAGCAAUGUUUUUAGAAUUAAUUGUAUGCCUCGCAAGGGUACUUCCUAGUUUGAAAUGAUGUAGCAGGCUGAUGCGGCAAACAAUUGACAAACCAGGAUAUGCUGCUCGUGCUCGAGCUUCCCAAGCACAAUGCUAACCAGUAACUUUUC
Long non-coding RNA from Lolium perenne, 1031 nucleotides. RefSeq lists it as uncharacterized. The record is from RefSeq and is a predicted model, not a curated record. Lineage: Eukaryota; Viridiplantae; Streptophyta; Magnoliopsida; Poales; Poaceae.